Molecule: ribosomal RNA, 440 nt
Filed under: uncultured bacterium
Lineage: Bacteria
Description: partial 16S ribosomal RNA
Rfam family: Bacterial small subunit ribosomal RNA
Source: RNAcentral
ACUACGGGUGGCAGCAGUGAGGGAUAUUGGUCAAUGGGGGAAACCCUGAACCAGCAAAGCCGCGUGAAGGAAGACGGUUUUCGGAUUGUAAAACUCUGUCCUCUGUGAAGAUAAUGACGGUAGCAGAGGAGGAAGCUCCGGCUAACUACGUGCCAGAAGCCGCGGUAAUACGUAGGGAGCAAGCGUUGACCGGAUUUACUGGGUGUAAAGGGUGCGUAGGCGGCUUUGCAAGUCAGAAGUGAAAUCCAUGGGCUUAACCCAUGAACUGCUUUUGAAACUGCAGAGCUUGAGUAGAGUAGAGGUAGGCGGAAUUCCCGGUGUAGCGGUGAAAUGCGUAGAGAUCGGGAGGAACACCAGUGGCGAAGGCGGUCUGCUGGGCUCUAACUGACGCUGAGGCACGAAAGCGUGGGUAGCAAACAGGAUUAGAUACCCUUGUAGUC